GGCCCGUUCGUCUAGUGGACCAGGACGCAAGGUUUUCAUCCUUGAAACAGGGGUUCGAUGCCCCUACGGGCUA
Molecule: transfer RNA, 73 nt
Filed under: Bacteroidales bacterium
Lineage: Bacteria; Pseudomonadati; Bacteroidota; Bacteroidia; Bacteroidales
Description: tRNA-Glu
Rfam family: tRNA
About the family: Transfer RNA (tRNA) molecules are approximately 80 nucleotides in length. Their secondary structure includes four short double-helical elements and three loops (D, anti-codon, and T loops).
Source: RNAcentral